UACUAGAGUAGCACUCGCAUAUCAAUAAGCGGAGGAAAAGAAACUAACAAGGAUUCCCCUAGUAACGGCGAGUGAAGCGGGAAGAGCUCAAAUUUGAAAUCUUAAAGGGUUUCCCUUUACGAAUUGUAGUUUAAAGAAGUGUUUUCUGUUGAGGUUUUGGUAAAAGUUCUUUGGAAUAGGACAUCAUAGAGGGUGAGAAUCCCGUAUUUGACCUUUACUUUCAACUUUGUGAUACACUUUCAAAGAGUCGGAUUGUUUGGGAAUGCAGUCCAAAAUGGGUGGUAAAUUUCAUCUAAAGCUAAAUAUUGGCGAGAGACCGAUAGCGAACAAGUACCGUGAGGGAAAGAUGAAAAGAACUUUGAAAAGAGAGUUAAACAGUACGUGAAAUUGUCAAAAGGGAAGCGUUUGACACCAGUAGUUGUUUUUCUGAAAAUCAAUUAAAGAACUGUUUAUGCUAAGCUGUUUAGACUUUAUCAGCUAUCUGUUUAGUUUUGAGCUUUUCUUUAAUGCACUUUUCAGUUAACAAGUCAACAUCAAUUUCUUUUGCUGUAAAAAAGCUUGAGGAAGGUGGCUUGAGAUUCGUCUUAAGUGUUUAUAGCCUCUUGCCUAUGCAGUCGGAGAGAUUGAGGUCUGCAGCGUAGAUCCUUCGGGGCUAAAUGCAUUUGUGCUAAGUUAUAGCAUUUUAUAGACAACUUGUUGACUAUGAUUUGUCUUGUAGCUUACUCGCUUAUGUUAUUUUACCUACGCUUAGGAUGUUGAGUCAUCACACAUCUCU
Molecule: ribosomal RNA, 775 nt
Filed under: uncultured Neocallimastigales
Lineage: Eukaryota; Fungi; Neocallimastigomycota; Neocallimastigomycetes; Neocallimastigales
Description: partial large subunit ribosomal RNA
Rfam family: Eukaryotic large subunit ribosomal RNA
Source: RNAcentral